UACGGAGGGUGCAAGCGUUAUCCGGAUUCACUGGGUUUAAAGGGUGCGUAGGAGGGCAGGUAAGUCAGUGGUGAAAUCUUUGGGCUUAACCCGAAAACUGCCAUUGAUACUAUCUGUCUUGAAUAUGGUGGAGGUCAGCGGAAUAUGUCAUGUAGCGGUGAAAUGCUUAGAUAUGACAUAGAACACCAAUUGCGAAGGCAGCUGGCUACAGGGAUAUUGACACUGAGGCACGAAAGCGUGGGGAUCAAACAGG
RNAcentral lists this ribosomal RNA (253 nucleotides) under uncultured bacterium. Its description in RNAcentral is "partial 16S ribosomal RNA". It matches the Rfam family "Bacterial small subunit ribosomal RNA", at positions 524 to 776 of the family's 1533-position model. The record is from RNAcentral.